Molecule: long non-coding RNA, 370 nt
Filed under: Ananas comosus (pineapple)
Lineage: Eukaryota; Viridiplantae; Streptophyta; Magnoliopsida; Poales; Bromeliaceae
Description: long non-coding RNA (ACOM_LNC000925)
Source: RNAcentral
AAAUAGAAAAAAGUGAGGUUGUUAGGAUUAUAUGUGGAUCAUUAAAAUUUUUAUUUGAUUAUUAGGAUUGUAUGGAUAGAUUAUUAGAAUUUUCAGACGGUUAAAAUUAUAUGAAAUUAUAUGGAUAAAUUAUUAUGAUUUAAAAGUUGUUAAGAUUAUAUGUGAUUUCAUAAAAUUUUUAUGUGGUUGUUAGAAUUCUAUAUGGAAUAUAGAAAGAAACAGUAAAUAAGUGAAAGGCGGUGAAUGAUUCACCGUCUUUAAAAGAAAUGGGAGAAAGCGGGGAAUCAUUUCAGCUAAUUUUUCAAAUAAAAUUUUGAAAGGAUUAUUUCGUAAAUUUUUAAAUUCUAGAGGGUUGUUUUAUAAAAAAAGA